This 443-nucleotide ribosomal RNA is filed under the name uncultured bacterium. RNAcentral's name for it is "partial 16S ribosomal RNA". It matches the Rfam family "Bacterial small subunit ribosomal RNA", at positions 338 to 795 of the family's 1533-position model. The record is from RNAcentral.
CCUACGGGAGGCAGCAGUGGGGAAUAUUGGACAAUGGGGGGAACCCUGAUCCAGCGACGCCGCGUGAGUGAAGAAGUAUUUCGGUAUGUAAAGCUCUAUCAGCAGGGAAGAAAGAAAUGACGGUACCUGACUAAGAAGCCCCGGCUAACUACGUGCCAGCAGCCGCGGUAAUACGUAGGGGGCAAGCGUUAUCCGGAUUUACUGGGUGUAAAGGGAGCGUAGACGGCGAUGCAAGUCUGAAGUGAAAGGCGGGGGCUCAACCCCCGGACUGCUUUGGAAACUGUAUGGCUGGAGUGCAGGAGAGGUAAGUGGAAUUCCUGGUGUAGCGGUGAAAUGCGUAGAUAGUAGGAGGAACACCAGUGGCGAAGGCGGCUUACUGGACUGUAACUGACGUUGAGGCUCGAAAGCGUGGGGAGCAAACAGGAUUAGAUACCCCAGUAGUC